RNAcentral lists this long non-coding RNA (3557 nucleotides) under Bemisia tabaci. RNAcentral's name for it is "lncRNA ENSSSA2NGG007401". Lineage: Eukaryota; Metazoa; Arthropoda; Insecta; Hemiptera; Aleyrodidae. The record is from RNAcentral.
AUGGGUAGACUUGAGCACCUAUUCGAGGAAUGGUGCUAUUCUCUUUCGUUCCUCCUCCUGACGAUCGCUUAUUUUCAAGAGAAUUUGGCACAAAAAAUGUCAACUCCUGGGCCGACUUGGGGUCCAACCAUUGACCCCAAUAGCCGCGUCUUUAGUCCCAUUAGAUCUGCAGAAAAAUUGAGGAAUCUCUCAGACACCACAUGCCUCUACCAUUUGUUAUCAGCUACGCUCCGAAACAAAUGUUAUGGCCCAACUGACCCUCUUCGGCAAUUCAAUUCUGAGGAGUUCGCGAGGAAGAUGCAUUUUGGAAAAGCGAUAGCAACGAAUUUCUUUUGUUUUUGAAAUUGGUACGAAUUCUAAGACUGAAAUUAGAUACGUUUUUUUUAAAACCAUCACUCGUCAUUCAAAAAUAGAACGGAUGUGAGGCAUCUUUUUAAAACUGAGCUUGAGCUGAAAUCUCUCGAAGAUAAAUGCAAAUUUAAUUAUUUCGAGCUUUCGAGUUUUCACCUACUAUCGGAACUAAAAAAACAUGACACAACAGACAAAUCACUUAAUCAUUUGCAGAAAUAAUUACAUACUUAAAAGAUAUAAAAUGUGUGACUUUGUCACAUUUGGGCAAUUGCGUUAUUUUUAUUUCCAUAAAAUUUUUACAUUACAACCUAAAUUGACAGCGCCUCGCCGUGGCUAAAAUUACGCUCAAUGGCACACUUUUUACUCACAUACUGGCACUGAUAAAUGCGAAAAAAUUGAAUUACCCAUCAACUACUAUUAGAAGGGCGUUUGAUAGCAAUCAUACAUUUUAAAAAAAACUGUGACACUCUCAAUCGUUUGGAGGUUAAGUACAGCUAAAAUUCAGCCCUUAGCUGCUAGAAAUCCUGGAGUUGAUAUCCUAUUAAAUCCACCCCAAUUUUUUCAAACCUAAGACAUAAAGACGGAUGCUAAAAGCAAAAAAUGAAGCUUCUUUUAACCACCUCUACUAUUGACUAGAGGAUUUGCGGAAAAAUCGGGACAAGUUUGAAAUUCAAAUCUAGGGUGGGAACUGAAUAAAAUUGCGCAAAAAAGUAUUCUAGGUUGAUUUUUGCCUAAAUUCACUUACCCACAGAUUUUUUUUAAGCUUUAGGUUAUUUUUGGUCCGUCAUUGACCAAUUAAUUUCAUUUGGGAGUAACGGUAAUCUAGGACUGUAUAACGGCCUGUUUGAACCGGCAGGACCACCAUGAGCAGAAGAAAAACUAACUUUAUCUGAGAUUACAGCCUGUUACCAAGCAAAUGUAGGUGUAUUAUAAAAAUUCAAUGUCCCAAGCUUCUUAAUAUAUUCGUUGUAGGCAUUUAAAACACGUUCAGAAGAAGAAAUGUGGAAAAAUCAAGAGGACAAGUUCAAAUCAAAUUUCCGCCAUGAAUUCCCGCGCUCAUUUACACUCUCACUCAAGCACCCAGCGCCAAACCAGGCUUCACUCUUUCCCGUGCUUUUAGAUACGUGCACUCAUCCGUCUUUAUGUCUUUGUUUCAAACCGAGGUGCGAAAUCGUAAGGAAUUUAACGCAUGGUUUGUCAGAUUUAUUUCUAGGGGUACGUAACUCUCUCAAAAGGCAAACAAUUUUAGAAACCCUGCACAUGAAUACGCCCCUUUGAGUAACAACGUUUAGUUUAAUAGUUAUAUGUACUAAUCAGGGAAAAUUCGAAAAUUUCAGAAUGAUCAUGAGAUAUUCCAUGAAUUCUAGUCGUAUUUUAGGUUACAAUUGUACAAAAUCUGUGUAUUUCUCUUAUUGCCGCUUCCUUAUCGCUUGAGAUUAUUAGAUUAUACAAUGCACAUCUAUAUCUACACGAGUCAAGAGUUUUUGUUUGGGAAUAUGCAAUAUUCCCUCAAUGCAAGAAUGAUAUAUUUUUGAUAUCUUUAUUUAUAGAGCCUCACAGUAAAAAAUAGAUCACCGGCCUCUUUGGAAGCUAGCAAACCUACACAAUUUCUGUCAUAUUAUUAUAUGUUUGGUAAAGAAUCUGAAAAUAAUUUUGGAGUAUUUUAAUUCCUUCCUUACAAUUCACCUUACACCUAUACCUAAGAUAAAGGUACAUGAAAUAUGUAAUUAUUUUCUUUCAUUAGAUCCUAUCAAAAAUGUCAGGCGAAUAUGUUAAAUUAAUCUUUAUCAGAUGCGGCGGAUGAAAGAGGAAUCUUAAAGUGAAGGGUUUCAAUUCUGCCUGGCCUUGUGUCUUUGCCAAUAGAGACUGAAUUUGAAUAGUUUAUCACAAAAACAGUACGAUUUGAACACUUUUUCAAAUUUUUAUUAUUUUGAAGUAUUGUCAGUUUGAAGUUGGAGUUUUGCAGUACGUCAUGACCAAACAGCUUGUCUGGUACGGUCAUGUCCAUAUGAUGACGGAAGAGAGGCUGCCAAAAAGAUGCUUGAUUGGGUUCCUGCUGGGAGGAGACGAAGGGGACGCCCGGUGAAAGGGCGGCGACAGGGGGUUUUGGAUUAGCUGAGGGAGUUCCAACUCCCUGAUGGGUUGUGGGAGGACGGAGUCGAUUGACAAAAUAAAGAUCUAGAAAUUAAAUGCACUUGGCAACAGCUUAUAUGUAAUUAGAGAUGGAAACAACUCAAGAAACCGUAUUAUACGUAACAUCAAAAUAUUUUCAAUGUUUUGGAACCCGCAUGAAUUUUUACCUCCUGCAUCCACAGGCUUUAAAGUUUUUGUGAUGAAUCGUUGCCCCUGCGCCCCUGCGCUUUAUGUAUUCAUUUUGUUCCGUGAGUCAUAAAAAAUCUACAAAUAUAUAUGAAGCAACCCCUUAAGCCUCAUAAUUUUAGUUACUGACGAUUUUUUUGUGUAUGCUCUUCAAGUAGAAGAUUCAGAUCCCAUGCAUUUGCAUAUUAAAUUUCAUUUUCUAUAAAAAAAGAAAAAGAUACAUCUGAAAGCAAUUUGUGUAAUGCAUGGGUAUAUAGAAAAAAAUCACUUCCUUUACUAUGCCAAUCCUAGCGUUUCAAAGAAGACAAUCUGCGAAGAAUUGGCUAAUAACUGUGAAUAGCAAUUUCGUACUUCAAAAGCUCCACCAUUGAAUUUGCGUGUAAUGUCAAAUCAAUCAGGUGAACAUGGACUUGACAUGGAUACAAGAACCUCACAAUCGUAGUGGUGUGAUUUAAAAAUUAGAAGGUAGCUUUCUAUUUUUAUUUCUUUCUUUAAAAUGUUUUAAUUUCUUUUGGCACAAGAUGGUUUCGAAAUUUCUUAAAAAAUCACUCUGAUAAGAAGCAGUUUGUUUUUAUUUUCCAAACGUUUUUAAACAAAACGCAUGAGAGAAAAUUUAAAGCCAACUUUUGGAGGAACUCGUUAGAUGAUACAUUUUGUGUGUUGUUCAGCUAUCUAUUGAAAAAAAAACGGGUACUAGGUAGUGUGAGUUUAAAUUAUGCAAGUCUAGGACGUUCUUUAAAAUCCUAGUGAGUUACCUAUCUAAAGUCAACACUGACUUUUCUUUAUUUAUGUUCCUCCCGACUCAAUUGGACACUGAACAAAAUUAAUAAAGCUAGGUACAUCUGAUGAAUAAUACAGAACUGACCUUCUUUAAUCACAAUUAAAUU